UCCCUGGAGGACUAGUGGUUAGGCCCUCAGUGCCACGGCCCGGGUUCGAUUCCCGUCCAGGAAA
Non-coding RNA from Pangasius djambal, 64 nucleotides. Lineage: Eukaryota; Metazoa; Chordata; Actinopteri; Siluriformes; Pangasiidae. The record is from the annotation of a GenBank genome assembly.